UCCUCAGCAUAUGAUCUCAGUCUCCACCCCCGUGUGCUGGCGUGGAGGCCCUUCUCUUCCAACAUGGAGUCCAGUUCUCACACCUUGGUUCUGCACUGACCUCUGACUUACUCUUAUCAACAGUAUGUAGUACAAAUGAUGCUGUUUCAGACUUGAGUCCCAUACUCUCACUCCUCCUUCUGCCAUGAACCAGGCAGUGGACUCACUGGAUAAAGCAAUGGCCUCAACCCGUGAGGAAAGAAACCAUGGAGGAAACCAAGGCCCACCAGAGCCAAGACAACCAUCAAUCCCCAGAGGCAGCUCUGCCCUGUGACCUAUUGUCAUUGCAAGAGAGACCUAGCUAUGACUCAAUAACCACCCAGCAGAGCCCAGCCCAAGCUGCUCUCCCACAGAGCCACAAGCUUGUGGGGACUCAGGCGGCUGCCACGGGCAGCUAAGAAGGAUCUGCUGUGUACUGGAUUCGGAUAUGAGUUCCUCAGAAACGUCCUCUCUUCCUCUGAGUGUUCCUGGACAUUGGCCCAGGCUCAUUUCUUCCUGAGGAGGGUGGAAUCUCAUUACAGGAAGCUGUGGACAUGGAACCCUCAUUACGGAAUGGAGGCCAAAGGCUCUUGUUUCCUGUCAGUCCCAAUCAAGGCUAGGGGCCAUUGAUAUGGCUCUGCAGCUCAAGGGACAAGCCUGGCAACCUGAGCUCCAUGCCCAGAGCCCACAUGAAAGUGGAAAAGGAAGGAGGAACCAACUCUACAAAGCUAGUCUCCACCUGUGUGCCAUGUUUGUUUAGCAGGCUAAGUUACUGAAAACCAUACAGUCAGCCCUGUGCCCAGAUUCUCCAUUCAAGAAUUCAACCAACCGAGGACCAACAGUAUUGGUGGGAACUGUGUCUGGUCUAUGCGGAGCAUAUCCACACUGCUUCCUGGCAUUGUUUUCUGUCAAUGCAGCACAGCAACUGUUGGCGCCGCACGGGUGGUAUGUCAGGAGCUAACAUUUCCCAUUCUGACUAAUGUGGCAUUUGAACUGUUGUUACUGCAGAAGAAAGCCCUCCCAACGCUUUUAACAUCUUUUAGCUCCCCUGCCUCAGUCUAUUUGUGAUACAUCAACACGAGAACAUGCAAAUUUUAAAGCUAAAUCGUCGAUGCAUGUCAACCCACAUCCAAGCUACUCCCUGUCAGUGCUCCAGAGGACAUAGCAAGAGAAGGUGGGAGGACCUGGGCAUGUGAUGAGAACAAAAUGCUAGGAACGACAGAACCUUGGCAUCUAAAGAAGAUCUCAAAGACCAAGUUCAGAACUGUUGGAAAUAGUGCGUGGUUGUACUUCUGAGUUAGAACACUCACCUGUUCGGAGCAGAACACAGGGCGCAUUGUUAGCGCUACACAAACCCCACUCUAAGGAAGCAGUGGAACCAAGUGAUGCCAAGGAGAGAGGCGCCUGGGCAGGAAAGAACCAGCCAGGCAGAGCCACCAAGGAGCAGGAGAAUUUGUAUCUCUUUCUUGGAGCUAAGUUGAAUCCGUGUAGCCACAGCCCCACAUCUGCUAUGAUGAGGACCCCGAGUCAUCCCUCAGAGAGAAAGACAUCUUGGAAGCCUUUAUGAUGAGAAGGACUUUGCUGACACCCCAAGCACAUUCCAGAACUUCUCAGAGUAGCAGGAAAGCAUAGAGGCGUCUAUUUCACCUGCCCUCUCAACACUGGCAGACACUGAGGUCACCGGGGGCAUUUGUGCUGAGUGAGGAAGACCCUGCAAGAGAAGGAGUGCUUGGGGCAGUGUCCCCAGCUGAACUAAGGACUCCUCCAGAGCAGCACCUCGAAAGGUUCACAGCACCUCAACACCACAGUGAGGACCAGGCCUCCAACACACGGACCACAAGGGACAGGUCACAUUCUGGUCAGAGAACUCAUCUUGUUGACACACUGGUUAAUCAAAUUAAUGAGAGACUGCUUGAAAAAGAACAGGAAAGCAACCUGAAGAUGAACAGAAAUAAGACACAGGCUAGAAAGGGGAUUCAAGAGCUCCCUCUAAAUAUGCCCAGUGGAUGAAGAUCCUACAGCAGCAAUGUUUCCUGAGGAUCCAGAAUAUCUUGCUGCUGCUUGCCUGCCUGUGAAUGGCUCCCACCCCACUGUGAGCUCUGUACUGGCCUGGAUCUCUUGCUAAUGUAAAGUGCACCAUAGAACGUUAGUAAAGAGGACCAGAGGCCCCAGGCCUGCUCAUAAAUGAGGGGACAGAAAUCAGCUACACUGUGAAGACUGUCUCUACUGCCGUGAGACUGGUGGGAGACAGGCUCGGUCACCAUGGAUGAAAUGAAUACCAUCUGCUGCUGUCCCCACAGAAGGGAACGUGGUAAUGCGGAUGGAGUCAGAACUCAUGACUUAUGACCAGCAAUGCCAGUUCCAGAGCUCUGUCCAGAAGAUGUGCACCAGUCUAUCCUAUUACUCUCCUUGUAAGCAAUCCAAAAGCUCUUGAGGCGGGGCAAGUUGAACCAAUGAGAGCAGAUCCACAGGAGAACCAUGCAGUUGUAAGUGUGAGGAAGAGAUGACUCUCUACCGCAGCAACAGAGCAUCUUAAGGAUACACUUAGGUGAAAAGGAGGACAGAGAACUCUGUAUAGCAUGUCAGAUACUUUUUUCUAGAAAAAGUGUAAAAUGAGUGUAUGUGUGUGUACACAUAUAUGUGUAACUAUACAUACACGCACACAUACAUAUAUACAUUAAUGCAGUGAAAAUGCAAAGCUCGUAGGGUCAGAAUGAGCUGAGGAGAACAGGGACGGAAACUGGACAGGUCCCUGAACACACUUGGCUUUGAGAUUUGACUAUGAAAUUUGCUUAUCUCUAGUGACAGACAAGAAAUGAAAAAAUCCAGCUGUGUUUCUGUAACCUUAUAUCAUGACUUUUGAACCCUCAGCCUCUGCAUGCAGACUUGGCCAACCACAGAAGAGUCUUCCCUUAUUUUUAGUCCCUAAAUGAGAUGGCAUAACACUAUUUAUAUAGCAUUUUGUUAUACAGCCAUUUCCUCUAAAACGAAACCUCCCAUCUUAGUGGGAAGUUCCUUAAGAUUCAAGAUAUUAGAAAGUGAGGUGAAAAAUUCCAUCCUGUGGGGGAUGCUCACAAAAAUACAACUUUCCCUGAGUCAUUUCAGAAGUUACCCUACAUCCAUA
Myodes glareolus (Bank vole) is the source of this 3142-nucleotide non-coding RNA. The record is from RefSeq and is a predicted model, not a curated record. NCBI's taxonomy places the organism in Eukaryota, Metazoa, Chordata, Mammalia, Rodentia, Cricetidae.